CGGUUAACGGGGGAUUAGGGUUCGAUUCCGGAGAGGGAGCCUGAGAAACGGCUACCACAUCUAAGGAAGGCAGCAGGCGCGCAAAUUACCCAAUUCUAACAGCAUAAGAGAGGUAGUGACAAGAAAUAACARUACAAGGCAGUUAAAAUGCUUUGUAAUUGGAAUGAUAGAAAUUUAAAYACUUUUUAAAGUAUCAAUUGGAGGGCAAGUCUGGUGCCAGCAGCCGCGGUAAUUCCAGCUCCAAUAGCGUAUAUUAAAAUUGUUGCAGUUAAAAAGCUCGUAGUUGAAUUUCUGCUAAAAAUAACCGGUCUGCUUUUAUUAAUAAAAGUGGUAUCUUGGUGUGUUUUUAGCAAUAAUGUCCUUUGAAAUGUUUUUUACUUUAUUGUWAAAAGCAAAUUUKAKGAUUUUUACUUUGAGAAAAUUAKAGUGUUUCAAGCAGGCUAACGUUUUGAAUACUGCAGCAUGGAAUAAUAAAAUAKGAUUUUASUUCUACGUUAUUGGUUUUAAGAA
This 510-nucleotide ribosomal RNA is filed under the name Hepatozoon sp. BT-2014. RNAcentral describes it as "bacterial SSU rRNA". It matches the Rfam family "Eukaryotic small subunit ribosomal RNA", at positions 358 to 867 of the family's 1831-position model. Lineage: Eukaryota; Apicomplexa; Hepatozoidae. The record is from RNAcentral.